GGGGCGAUGGCGGCGAGGAAGGGGCCGUGGACGGAGAAGGAGGACGCACAACUGGUAUGGUUCGUGCGCUUGCUCGGGGAACGGCGUUGGGAUUUCUUAGCUCAGGUCUCAGGUUUGCGCGGUGGCGGGUGAUCGAUCCAACCUGACCUCUACGGCCAGUCGCCAUUAAUCAUCUUCUCUUCCUCUCCCCCUGCCCCUCCGGCGCGUUCUCGGCUGUGCUUCGUGCGUGCAGGUCUCCGGCGCACCGGCAAGAGCUGCCGCCUCCGCUGGGUCAACUACCUGCACCCGGGCCUCAAGCGCGGGCGCAUCACCGCCGACGAGGAGCGCCUCAUCCUCACCCUCCACGCCGAGUGGGGGUCCCGCUGGUCCAGGAUCGCGCGGAAGCUCCCCGGCCGCACCGACAACGAGAUCAAGAACUACUGGAGGACGCACAUGAGGAAGAAGGCCCAGGAGGAGAAGAUGAUGGCCAAGAACAAGGCCUCCUCCGACUCCACCGCCGCCAACUCGCUGACGACGACGACGACCUGCUCGGCAUCCACCCCCACGGCCACCUCCUCGACCACCGACGCGCCGCAGACUAGCAUGGGCGACGAGGCCGAGGAGGAGGCCUCCACGUCGGCGACCGAGGAGAAGAAGGCGGAGGUGGUGCAGUACUGCUACGCUGUGGACAUGGAUCAGCUCUGGAACGACAUCGCCG
RNAcentral lists this long non-coding RNA (697 nucleotides) under Hordeum vulgare. RNAcentral describes it as "long non-coding RNA (HVUL_LNC000203)". Lineage: Eukaryota; Viridiplantae; Streptophyta; Magnoliopsida; Poales; Poaceae. The record is from RNAcentral.